GGUCCUUGAUGUGUAGGAUAGGUGGGAGGCUUUGAAGCGUGGACGCCAGUCUGCGUGGAGCCAACCUUGAAAUACCACCCUUUAAUGGCUGGUGUUCUAACGUAGACCCGUUACCCGGGUUGCGGACAGUGUCUGGUGGGUAGUUUGACUGGGGCGGUCUCCUCCCAAAGAGUAACGGAGGAGCACGAAGGUUGGCUAAUCCUGGUCGGACAUCAGGAGGUUAGU
This 225-nucleotide ribosomal RNA is filed under the name Enterobacter hormaechei. RNAcentral's name for it is "partial 23S ribosomal RNA". It matches the Rfam family "Bacterial large subunit ribosomal RNA", at positions 2126 to 2350 of the family's 2925-position model. The record is from RNAcentral. Lineage: Bacteria; Pseudomonadati; Pseudomonadota; Gammaproteobacteria; Enterobacterales; Enterobacteriaceae.